CUGAUUAUUGAAAGGUGCUUGCAUCUUGAUUUAAUUUUGAACGAGUGGCGGACGGGUGAGUAACACGUGGGUAACCUGCCCUUAAGUGGGGGAUAACAUUUGGAAACAGAUGCUAAUACCGCAUAAAUCCAAGAACCGCAUGGUUCUUGGCUGAAAGAUGGCGUAAGCUAUCGCUUUUGGAUGGACCCGCGGCGUAUUAGCUAGUUGGUGAGGUAACGGCUCACCAAGGCAAUGAUACGUAGCCGAACUGAGAGGUUGAUCGGCCACAUUGGGACUGAGACACGGCCCAAACUCCUACGGGAGGCAGCAGUAGGGAAUCUUCCACAAUGGACGCAAGUCUGAUGGAGCAACGCCGCGUGAGUGAAGAAGGCUUUCGGGUCGUAAAACUCUGUUGUUGGAGAAGAAUGGUCGGCAGAGUAACUGUUGUCGGCGUGACGGUAUCCAACCAGAAAGCCACGGCUAACUACGUGCCAGCAGCCGCGGUAAUACGUAGGUGGCAAGCGUUAUCCGGAUUUAUUGGGCGUAAAGCGAGCGCAGGCGGUUUUUUAAGUCUGAUGUGAAAGCCCUCGGCUUAACCGAGGAAGUGCAUCGGAAACUGGGAAACUUGAGUGCAGAAGAGGACAGUGGAACUCCAUGUGUAGCGGUGAAAUGCGUAGAUAUAUGGAAGAACACCAGUGGCGAAGGCGGCUGUCUGGUCUGUAACUGACGCUGAGGCUCGAAAGCAUGGGUAGCGAACAGGAUUAGAUACCCUGGUAGUCCAUGCCGUAAACGAUGAAUGCUAGGUGUUGGAGGGUUUCCGCCCUUCAGUGCCGCAGCUAACGCAUUAAGCAUUCCGCCUGGGGAGUACGACCGCAAGGUUGAAACUCAAAGGAAUUGACGGGGGCCCGCACAAGCGGUGGAGCAUGUGGUUUAAUUCGAAGCAACGCGAAGAACCUUACCAGGUCUUGACAUCUUUUGAUCACCUGAGAGAUCAGGUUUCCCCUUCGGGGGCAAAAUGACAGGUGGUGCAUGGUUGUCGUCAGCUCGUGUCGUGAGAUGUUGGGUUAAGUCCCGCAACGAGCGCAACCCUUAUGACUAGUUGCCAGCAUUUAGUUGGGCACUCUAGUAAGACUGCCGGUGACAAACCGGAGGAAGGUGGGGAUGACGUCAAAUCAUCAUGCCCCUUAUGACCUGGGCUACACACGUGCUACAAUGGAUGGUACAACGAGUUGCGAGACCGCGAGGUCAAGCUAAUCUCUUAAAGCCAUUCUCAGUUCGGACUGUAGGCUGCAACUCGCCUACACGAAGUCGGAAUCGCUAGUAAUCGCGGAUCAGCACGCCGCGGUGAAUACGUUCCCGGGCCUUGUACACACCGCCCGUCACACCAUGAGAGUUUGUAACACCCGAAGCCGGUGGCGUAACCCUUUUAGGGAGCGA
RNAcentral lists this ribosomal RNA (1416 nucleotides) under Lacticaseibacillus rhamnosus. RNAcentral's name for it is "bacterial SSU rRNA". It matches the Rfam family "Bacterial small subunit ribosomal RNA". The record is from RNAcentral. Lineage: Bacteria; Bacillati; Bacillota; Bacilli; Lactobacillales; Lactobacillaceae.